CUACGGGCCGCUCCAGUGAGGAAUAUUGCACAAUGGGGGGAACCCUGAUGCAGCAACGCCGCGUGGAGGAUGACGCAUUUCGGUGUGUAAACUCCUUUUAUAUGUCAAGAAAAUGACGGUAGCAUAUGAAUAAGCACCGGCUAACUCCGUGCCAGCAGCCGCGGUGAAUACGGAGGGUGCAAGCGUUACUCGGAAUCACUGGGCGUAAAGGACGCGUAGGCGGGUUGGAAAGUCAGGUGUGAAAUCCUACAGCUUAACUGUAGAACUGCACUUGAAACUUCUAAUCUAGAGUAUGGGAGGGGGAGAUGGAGUUAGUGGUGUAGGGGUAAAAUCCGUAGAUAUCACUAGGAAUACCUAAAGCGAAGGCGAUCUCCUGGAACAUUACUGACGCUAAGGCGUGAAAGCGUGGGGAGCAAACAGGAUUAGAUACCCUAGUAGUC
This 440-nucleotide ribosomal RNA is filed under the name uncultured bacterium. Its description in RNAcentral is "partial 16S ribosomal RNA". It matches the Rfam family "Bacterial small subunit ribosomal RNA", at positions 339 to 795 of the family's 1533-position model. The record is from RNAcentral.